UACACUCCUACGGGAGGCAGCAGUGGGGAAUUUUGGACAAUGGGCGAAAGCCUGAUCCAGCAAUGCCGCGUGUGUGAAGAAGGCCUUCGGGUUGUAAAGCACUUUUGUCCGGAAAGAAAUCCUUGGCUCUAAUACAGUCGGGGGAUGACGGUACCGGAAGAAUAAGCACCGGCUAACUACGUGCCAGCAGCCGCGGUAAUACGUAGGGUGCGAGCGUUAAUCGGAAUUACUGGGCGUAAAGCGUGCGCAGGCGGUUUGCUAAGACCGAUGUGAAAUCCCCGGGCUCAACCUGGGAACUGCAUUGGUGACUGGCAGGCUAGAGUAUGGCAGAGGGGGGUAGAAUUCCACGUGUAGCAGUGAAAUGCGUAGAGAUGUGGGGGAAUACCGAUGGCGAAGGCAGCCCCCUGGGCCAAUACUGACGCUCAUGCACGAAAGCGUGGGGAGCAAACAGGAUUAGAUACCCUAGUAGUCCCAUG
Molecule: ribosomal RNA, 476 nt
Filed under: uncultured organism
Description: partial 16S ribosomal RNA
Rfam family: Bacterial small subunit ribosomal RNA
Source: RNAcentral